This 497-nucleotide ribosomal RNA is filed under the name uncultured bacterium. Its description in RNAcentral is "partial 16S ribosomal RNA". It matches the Rfam family "Bacterial small subunit ribosomal RNA", at positions 28 to 507 of the family's 1533-position model. The record is from RNAcentral.
GAUGAACGCUGGCGGCGUGCCUAAUACAUGCAAGUCGAGCGAACGGACGCGAAGCUUGCUUCUCUGAUGUUAGCGGCGGACGGGUGAGUAACACGUGGAUAACCUACCUAUAAGACUGGGAUAACUUCGGGAAACCGGAGCUAAUCCCGGAUAAUAUUUUGAACCGCAUGGUUCAAAAGUGAAAGACGGUCUUGCUGGCUCUUCUCGCUGGUUCCCCGCUGCAUUAGCUGGUUGGUAAGGUCACGGGUUACCAAGGCAACGAUGCAUAGACGACCGGUGAGGGGGAUCGGCCGCACGGGAGCGGAGCCACGGUCCAUACGCCUACGGGAGGCAGCAGUAGGGAAUCGUCCGCAAUGGGCGAGAGCAUUACGGAGCAAGGGCGAGUGAGUGAUGGAGGUCCUCGGAUCGUAAAACUCGGUUAUGAGGUAUGAACAGAUGUGUAAGUAACUGUGCACAGCUUGACGGUACCUAAUCAGAAAGCCACGGCUAACUACGUG